This 494-nucleotide ribosomal RNA is filed under the name uncultured bacterium. RNAcentral describes it as "bacterial SSU rRNA". It matches the Rfam family "Bacterial small subunit ribosomal RNA", at positions 899 to 1397 of the family's 1533-position model. The record is from RNAcentral.
ACUCAAAUGAAUAGACGGGGGCCCGCACAAGCGGUGGAGCAUGUGGAUUAAUUCGAUGCAACGCGAAGAACCUUACCAAGGCUUGACAUGGAGACGACCGCAGCAGAAAUGUUGCUUUCUUCGGACGUCUCACACAGGUGGUGCAUGGUUGUCGUCAGCUCGUGUCGUGAGAUGUUGGGUUAAGUCCCGCAACGAGCGCAACCCUUAUCUUCAGUUACCAGCAUUAAGUUGGGUACUCUGGAGAGACUGCCGUGGAUAACACGGAGGAAGGUGGGGAUGAUGUCAAAUCAUCAUGCCCCUUACGCCUUGGGCUUCACACGUGCUACAAUGGUCUUUACAAAGUGAAGCAAUACUGCGAAGUGGAGCGAACCACAAAAAAAGACCCCAGUUCGGAUUGUAGGCUGCAACUCGCCUGCAUGAAGUUGGAAUCGCUAGUAAUCGCGAAUCAGAAUGUCGCGGUGAAUACGUUCCCGGGCCUUGCACACACCGCCCGU